AAAGGAGUGUCUAUUGCAUUGUAGAAUAAGCAUGUAAGCGUGAUAUACAUGAGGUAUGGUGAAUAUUUGUGUUGGAAUCAACUUAUUUACUAUUAUGAAGUUUGAACUCCCUUAUUUCAUUUAUGUGUUUGAUGCUAGCAGAGUCAACUCCUGCAUCGUGGACCUGCUUUCAUAUGGAUCAUGUAUGCAUGUAUGAAAAGCACACUGGAGAUGAUCUCAAUCUACAAUAUACUUGUUUAAAGAGAUUGUCCUGCUUUGCUUAGAUGUAUCAGUUUAUUUGAUACUGCUCUGACUGCUUUGCGUAGAUGUGCCUGCUCUGAAAGAGAUUGUCGUGCUAGCUCACUAACAUCUAAGUAUCAACCUAUUCUAGCAGAGAAAAGAACCAGUUGAAAGAGCUCUUCAUAAAUAAAGCUUUCAUGUCAAUUGUGUCAAAGCUCUUCAAUGCUGUAUGUUGAACAUGUAUUUUCUGGUUUUCCUAGCUUGUCAUGCUGUGUCGAUGCAUUCCAUUGCCAUCAUAGUGGAGUUGCUUUGCUAUUUUUACAGUCAACUCAAGAAAGCAAGGCAUCAGUUUACUCUGUUUGAUAUGGAAACCUAUUGCUGUUUAAUGGGGACCUGUUUGGAAAAAGAUAGGGGAUCUUGAGGUUAUGUAGUUGAUCUCAUGCAAGGUUCUGGUGCUUUGUGAUUGCUAGGUAACAAAAUGAUGAUUGAGGAGACAAAGCGUAGCAUCCAUGAUGCAUUGUGUGUGGCAAGGAAUCUCAUUCGCAACAAUUCUAUUGUAUAUGGUGGUGGCUCAUCUGAGAUUUCCUGCUCAAUUUCUGUGGAGGCCGCAGCAGAUAGAUAUCCAGGAGUUGAGCAGGUAUCAGGGCAUUUACUGAUGGAUUUUUUUCUUUUCUUUUCUUUUUUGCUUGAUUGAUACCAAUGACUUUUAUUUUCUUUUCCUGCAGUAUGCUAUCAGGGCAUUUGCAGAUGCUUUAGAUUCCGUCCCUAUGUCGCUUGCAGAAAAUAGUGGCCUCCAACCCAUUGAGACAUUAUCUGCUGUGAAAUCUCAACAAAUUAAGGUAAAUAUGAUAUGGCCACCUUCAGUGCCUCACACAUAUCUAGCUCCACUUUGUGUAAUUGCACAGUCCACCAUCAUGGUUGUGAUUUUCAUUUUAAAAUUGAUUAUGCAGGAGAACAAUCCUUACUGUGGAAUAGAUUGCAAUGAUGCUGGUACAAAUGACAUGCGAGAGCAAAAUGUAUUUGAGACUCUUAUCGGAAAGCAGCAGCAGAUUUUGCUAGCAACACAAGUUGUCAAAAUGAUUCUAAAAAUCGACGAUGUCAUCUCCCCUUCUGAUUUCUGAUCUUUGAAGUUCUGUUACAUCACACUGCUUAGCCAUCAACCGAGGCCAUAUUGUUUUGAUGGCCUGAUGUGGCAUAUUGAGCCGCAUGGAGACACUCUCAGUUCACGAGAGUUUGUUUUGGUUACAGAUCUAUCAUUGGAUUUUAGUCGGGGCUUUUCUUGUGUCUGAACUGGUUGAUUUUGUCGCUUGUUUUCUUUGAUUACUGAUAUUACUUUAUACCCCCCUUCUUAGCUGUCUCUACUUGUAUACUGCAUAUUCAUUGCAGGAUCAUUUGUUUCAGCUCGUUUUUCUUAUUCUUUGUUUCAAAUGAUUCCGACUGAAUGUAUUUCUUAAUGUGACGGAACUGAAAACAUUAGUUGUCAACAAGCUAAUGGAGUUUGUACAAGGUAGCUGCUGAGGAAUGCACGCACCCCGUUAUUCAUAUGGAUCAUGUAUGCAUGUAUGAAAAGCACACUGGAGAUGAUCUCAAUCUACAAUAUACUUGUUUAAAGAGAUUGUCCUGCUUUGCUUAGAUGUAUCAGUUUAUUUGAUACUGCUCUGACUGCUUUGCGUAGAUGUGCCUGCUCUGAAAGAGAUUGUCGUGCUAGCUCACUAACAUCUAAGUAUCAACCUAUUCUAGCAGAGAAAAGAACCAGUUGAAAGAGCUCUUCAUAAAUAAAGCUUUCAUGUCAAUUGUGUCAAAGCUCUUCAAUGCUGUAUGUUGAACAUGUAUUUUCUGGUUUUCCUAGCUUGUCAUGCUGUGUCGAUGCAUUCCAUUGCCAUCAUAGUGGAGUUGCUUUGCUAUUUUUACAGUCAACUCAAGAAAGCAAGGCAUCAGUUUACUCUGUUUGAUAUGGAAACCUAUUGCUGUUUAAUGGGGACCUGUUUGGAAAAAGAUAGGGGAUCUUGAGGUUAUGUAGUUGAUCUCAUGCAAGGUUCUGGUGCUUUGUGAUUGCUAGGUAACAAAAUGAUGAUUGAGGAGACAAAGCGUAGCAUCCAUGAUGCAUUGUGUGUGGCAAGGAAU
Molecule: long non-coding RNA, 2343 nt
Filed under: Populus trichocarpa (black cottonwood)
Lineage: Eukaryota; Viridiplantae; Streptophyta; Magnoliopsida; Malpighiales; Salicaceae
Description: long non-coding RNA (PTRI_LNC002460)
Source: RNAcentral